CCUACGGGAGGCAGCAGUGGGGAAUUUUCCGCAAUGGGCGCAAGCCUGACGGAGCAAUACCGCGUGAGGGAGGAAGGCUCUUGGGUCGUAAACCUCUUUUCUCAGGGAAGAACACAAUGACGGUACCUGAGGAAUCAGCAUCGGCUAACUCCGUGCCAGCAGCCGCGGUAAUACGGAGGGUGCAAGCGUUAUCCGGAAUGAUUGGGCGUAAAGCGUCCGCAGGUGGCAGUGUAAGUCUGCUGUCAAAGGUCAGGGCUCAACCCUGAACAGGCAGUGGAAACUACACAGCUAGAGUGCGGUGGGGGCAGAGGGAAUUCCCAGUGUAGCGGUGAAAUGCGUAGAGAUUGGGAAGAACACCGGUGGCGAAAGCGCUCUGCUAGGCCGCAACUGACACUCAUGGACGAAAGCUAGGGGAGCGAAUGGGAUUAGAUACCCCAGUAGUCCUAGCCGUAAACGAUGGAUACUAGGCGUAGCUCGUAUCGACCCGAGCUGUGCCGUAGCUAACGCGUUAAGUAUCCCGCCUGGGGAGUACGCUCGCAAGAGUGAAACUCAAAUGAAUUGACGG
This 565-nucleotide ribosomal RNA is filed under the name uncultured bacterium. RNAcentral describes it as "bacterial SSU rRNA". It matches the Rfam family "Bacterial small subunit ribosomal RNA", at positions 338 to 916 of the family's 1533-position model. The record is from RNAcentral.